CGAUAUUUCUUUUUAAAGGGGCUACGUGAAGCCAUCAAAAAUACCGACUCUGCUAAAUUUGAUCACAGAUGUUCUAACAUUAUUGUAGCAAUUUAAGUAUGUAAUACUAUAGAUUAAAUAUGAUAAUACCACACGUAGUGCGAUUCGGCUCUAGUAUUUACCGUUCGCUAUAUUAAUGUUGUAGAUAAAGUACGACGAUGAUGAGGUUCACUAAAAAUAAAAUACUCUCUCGACAAAAAAAAUUAUU
Cinara cedri is the source of this 247-nucleotide non-coding RNA. The record is from the annotation of a GenBank genome assembly. Lineage: Eukaryota; Metazoa; Arthropoda; Insecta; Hemiptera; Aphididae.